Molecule: ribosomal RNA, 258 nt
Filed under: uncultured bacterium
Lineage: Bacteria
Description: partial 16S ribosomal RNA
Rfam family: Bacterial small subunit ribosomal RNA
Source: RNAcentral
GUCCGCACGGUAAACGAUGGAUGCCCGCUGUUGGUCUGAACAGGUCAGAGGCCAAGCGAAAGCAUUAAGCAUCCCACCUGGGGAGUACGCCGGCAACGGUGAAACUCAAAGGAAUUGACGGGGGCCCGCACAAGCGGAGGAACAUGUGGUUUAAUUCGAUGAUACGCGAGGAACCUUACCCGGGCUUGAAUUGCAGAGGAAGGAUUUGGAGACAAUGACGCCCUUCGGGUCUCUGUGAAGGUGCUGCAUGGUUGUCGU